Molecule: ribosomal RNA, 334 nt
Filed under: uncultured eukaryote
Lineage: Eukaryota
Description: partial 18S ribosomal RNA
Rfam family: Eukaryotic small subunit ribosomal RNA
Source: RNAcentral
CCCUUAGAUGUCCGGGGCCGCACGCGCGCUACACUGAAGGAAUCAGCGUGGCUUUCUCCCUGACCCGAAAGGGUUGGGAAACCCGUUGAAUCUCCUUCGUGAUAGGGAUUGGGGCUUGAAGUUGUUCCCCAUGAACGAGGAAUUCCCAGUAAGCGCGAGUCAUAAGCUCGCGUUGAUUACGUCCCUGCCCUUUGUACACACCGCCCGUCGCUACUACCGAUUGAACGGUUUAGUGAGGGCCUCGGAUUGGUCUCGGCCCGCUCUUUACCGGGCGGCGCCGUUGGUCGAGAAGACGCUCGAACUUGAUCGUUUAGAGGAAGUAAAAGUCGUAACA